Molecule: ribosomal RNA, 301 nt
Filed under: uncultured bacterium
Lineage: Bacteria
Description: partial 16S ribosomal RNA
Rfam family: Bacterial small subunit ribosomal RNA
Source: RNAcentral
CAGUAGCCACGGGAAUACAGAGGGUGCAAGCGUUAAUCGGAAUUAUUGGGCGUAAAGGGCUCGCAGGCGGUUUCUUAAGUCUGAUGUGAAAGCCCCCGGCUCAACCGGGGAGGGUCAUUGGAAACUGGGAAACUUGAGUGCAGAAGAGGAGAGUGGAAUUCCACGUGUAGCGGUGAAAUGCGUAGAGAUGUGGAGGAACACCAGUGGCGAAGGCGACUCUCUGGUCUGUAACUGACGCUGAGGAGCGAAAGCGUGGGGAGCGAACAGGAUUAGAUACCCCUGUAGUCCCUGUCUCUUAUAA